Molecule: ribosomal RNA, 256 nt
Filed under: uncultured bacterium
Lineage: Bacteria
Description: partial 16S ribosomal RNA
Rfam family: Bacterial small subunit ribosomal RNA
Source: RNAcentral
UACGUAGGGUGCAAGCGUUAAUCGGAAUUACUGGGCGUAAAGCGUGCGCAGGCGGUUUUGUAAGUCUGUCGUGAAAUCCCCGGGCUCAACCUGGGAGUUGCGAUGGAGACUGCAAGGCUAGAAUCUGGCAGAGGGGGGUAGAAUUCCACGUGUGAGCAGUGAAAUGCGUAGAGAUGUGGAGGAACACCGAUGGCGAAGGCAGCCCCCUGGGUCAAGAUUGACGCUCAUGCACGAAAGCGUGGGGGAGCAAACGAGG